This 1060-nucleotide ribosomal RNA is filed under the name Salmonella enterica subsp. enterica serovar Infantis. RNAcentral describes it as "bacterial SSU rRNA". It matches the Rfam family "Bacterial small subunit ribosomal RNA", at positions 53 to 1104 of the family's 1533-position model. The record is from RNAcentral. Lineage: Bacteria; Pseudomonadati; Pseudomonadota; Gammaproteobacteria; Enterobacterales; Enterobacteriaceae.
ACAUGCAAGUCGAACGGUAGCACAGAGAGCUUGCUCUCGGGUGACGAGUGGCGGACGGGUGAGUAAUGUCUGGGAAACUGCCUGAUGGAGGGGGAUAACUACUGGAAACGGUGGCUAAUACCGCAUAACGUCGCAAGACCAAAGAGGGGGACCUUCGGGCCUCUUGCCAUCAGAUGUGCCCAGAUGGGAUUAGCUUGUUGGUGAGGUAACGGCUCACCAAGGCGACGAUCCCUAGCUGGUCUGAGAGGAUGACCAGCCACACUGGAACUGAGACACGGUCCAGACUCCUACGGGAGGCAGCAGUGGGGAAUAUUGCACAAUGGGCGCAAGCCUGAUGCAGCCAUGCCGCGUGUAUGAAGAAGGCCUUCGGGUUGUAAAGUACUUUCAGCGGGGAGGAAGGUGUUGUGGUUAAUAACCGCAGCAAUUGACGUUACCCGCAGAAGAAGCACCGGCUAACUCCGUGCCAGCAGCCGCGGUAAUACGGAGGGUGCAAGCGUUAAUCGGAAUUACUGGGCGUAAAGCGCACGCAGGCGGUCUGUCAAGUCGGAUGUGAAAUCCCCGGGCUCAACCUGGGAACUGCAUUCGAAACUGGCAGGCUUGAGUCUUGUAGAGGGGGGUAGAAUUCCAGGUGUAGCGGUGAAAUGCGUAGAGAUCUGGAGGAAUACCGGUGGCGAAGGCGGCCCCCUGGACAAAGACUGACGCUCAGGUGCGAAAGCGUGGGGAGCAAACAGGAUUAGAUACCCUGGUAGUCCACGCCGUAAACGAUGUCUACUUGGAGGUUGUGCCCUUGAGGCGUGGCUUCCGGAGCUAACGCGUUAAGUAGACCGCCUGGGGAGUACGGCCGCAAGGUUAAAACUCAAAUGAAUUGACGGGGGCCCGCACAAGCGGUGGAGCAUGUGGUUUAAUUCGAUGCAACGCGAAGAACCUUACCUGGUCUUGACAUCCACAGAAGAAUCCAGAGAUGGAUUUGUGCCUUCGGGAACUGUGAGACAGGUGCUGCAUGGCUGUCGUCAGCUCGUGUUGUGAAAUGUUGGGUUAAGUCCCGCAACGAGCGCAACCC